Molecule: long non-coding RNA, 2834 nt
Organism: Cuculus canorus (common cuckoo)
Lineage: Eukaryota; Metazoa; Chordata; Aves; Cuculiformes; Cuculidae
Exons: 3
Source: RefSeq, a predicted model, not a curated record
CAUUAAGGAGAGGGUCGGGAGAUGGUGACCGUGCUUCACAAAAGAAACUGUCAGGUGGAGUUGCAGGAAUUCAUUGAGGACUCGGAAAUUGUGGGACACAACACGAAGGAUUACUGGUGCUUUCUGAAGGAAAAGCUGCGCAGGGGCUGGGCAGUGAAAGUCCUUCGGUGCAGAGACCCCCCACCCGGCUGGAAAUGACUCUUCCUGCAGGUGCAGCGGCUCUGCCUGGCUGCGGCUCUGCCCGGCCCAGUAAAGCUGCCCCCGAUCUGCUGAGAGGCUCCCAGCGCCGUCCCAGUCCCGGGUGCAGAACACUUCCUGUGCUGCAGCACAACGAAAGGGUGUGAGGAAAACUGCCUCUGCAAGGAGAACAUCAGCCCUUCUCCGUUCCCCCUGACCAUUCCGUGUGCUCCGCUCAGGACUCGUGAGGCUCAGUGGAGAUGUGCCGGUGAGUACAGCCAAGUAAGGGGAAGGAGAUUUGCCUUAGUAAGUGCUGGGUGGGAAAGUCAUCCUUGGCUCCUCAGCUGGCAAUGGUCACAAACAGCUUCACUGCAAAACCAGAAGGAACACAAUUGUAUAUUUUUCCGUUAAGAAGACUUAGAAGUCAGAUGAGUUGGAAAAAAGGGAAAGGAAAGCUCUGUAGAUUUGGUAAGUGAAAACAAAAGGAGGGGAUAGAGUAAUGUAGAAUCACAGCUCUUCCUCAGUGUGGCAGCAGCAUCUGUUCAAAAAUGCAGGACACUUAGAACUGGUGAGGAGCUCCAAAACGCUGGCUGAGCUGCACAGCUGGGCUGUACCAGCGAGGUGAUGGCUUCAGUCUGCUGGGAUAAAGUCUCCCAGUAGGUGCUGAAGCACCAGUGCUGAUGGACCCAGUUUCUUGCCCUUCUCCCUUUCCCCUGCUCUUUCUCCAGUGCUUGCCAGUUAUGUCAAAACUCACGCUCGGUCCUCUGAGGCCCCCGUUGGUUUUGACCAGUGUUACAAACCACCUGGUGAUGGUCAUUAGAUGAUAGCAGUCACCAUUGGAGGUGAACACAAGGUGAGAUAAAAACUGAACAAAACCACAGCAUUGUUCUUUUUAAACUGCAAAUUCAAGCCCAAGGUGUGAACAUCAUAACCUUCAACUAAUAAAUGUGCAGACAAAUCUUUCGGAUGCGCUGCAAGAGCUUUUUUGAAGACAUAACCACAAGCCACGUGAGUCAGAUGUAGUGAUUGCUCAGGUGUGGGCUGCCCCGGCUCUGUGUCUGUUCAAAACCAAAGCAGAGCGUUGCGUGAAGAGCACUGUUCUUUUUUUCACUGCCCAACUUUUCUUUCUGAGGCUCUCCCGGUGUCUCGGCUCACAGGACAGUAUGGCCAAAAGGACUUUCCCUUCUUCCUAUGGCUUCUGCUUUUGGUGGAGAUCUCUUUUUCUCUCAUAGAAAUUAAGCUGCUCAUUUCUGCAUGACGUGAUUUGGGUGGCAGAGGUCAGGAUGGGGAGGAAGGAAGGAAUAUAACCAAAGGAAAUAACCCCCUUUCCUAAUACUCGUGAGGCUCUGAGGCUCAGCUACCACUGGCGUGAAGCAUCUCAGCUGGGUGAGCUGCCUACAUUGCUGUCUUAAGUAAACAGCAGAAUAGCCAAGCAGAAAUCAUUCCCCAGAUGUUACAAAGCGCUCUAAAAUCUGUUUGAAACUAUCUAAAUACUUCACACUUCUUAUAAAUUCAUAUCUUGAUCCCAGAAGAGGAUCCAGUGCGCUCACCACGGACUGAUAAGCAUUUAGAACAGUUAAAUUACUCAGAAAUAUUUAACUAUCGUACAAAUACGUGUGAAGCGUCGGCACUCCCCAGCAUAAACCCAAUGCAAAGGUCUCUGCCUAUUUCAUGGUGUUUUGAUUCACCUGUUUAAUAGGGAGGGUUAUUUUUUAACCUCUCCCAUUCCAAACAGGACUUCAGUUUUUAGUGUAACAGAGUGGAGGAAAAGAAAUCUUAACGUGGGGGCAUGCGGUCACCUGCACAGUGAGAGGGAUUGAAAAGGGAAAUGGAUCGUCUGCCUUCUGGAUCCGUUUGUCUUCAGUUCUUGUUUGAAUUCCUCUUAAAUCAGUUUCUGCAUGGCAGUAAUACUCGGGAAUGCUGCAGAGUGGGAUCGGAACCGACCUCCUUUUGCAGCAGGGAGAGAUUCUUGAAACUGUUAUUCCUUAAGUCAUGUCUUUUCCCUUCCUUUCGCCUUUCCUGUUGUGCUCUGCCUUCUGACGAGUGCGACAUCGACAGGAAGAGGGAAGGAGCCAGGUUUGUCUCUCGGCUGCUGGUGUGCUUCGUGCAUCUGUGAAGAGGCAGAGCCACAGCAUAAAGCUGACGGAAAGCCGUGGAGGUACCUCUCUGAAAAAUGUAAUGGACUGUGCUGAAGCCUAACUUUGACUGAUGUGAGGUUUGGGACUUUAUCCAGGUAAGAAUUCAUGCAGCAGUGAGCACAGAUAAGGCAGAUGACCCAGAGUAGGGCCAAACUGUUUACCAGCAGAUGUGUUUUUGAAAAUCUUCCUUAACUGGUCAUGGCAGCGGAAAAUACCCUGCUGUUAAACGCAUCUGCAAUCCACUGCGCUCCCAAUCCACCUACAAAAAUUCUGACCUUUAAAGAAAUGAUGGAGAAGCUGGUGAUUUUUUCCAUGGCAUUGAAGCUCAGUCUAUUUUAGGCUCCAAGGCAAUUGCAGCCCUUUUUGCUCCCUAUUUCACAUCACUUUUAAGUCUUGUUCUGGCCACUAUGAACCCUUCAGCACUUCUCCCUGUGCAAUCACUCGAGUCAAGAUCUGUGAUUUGUGAUUUGCAGAUGACAUGUACAUUUCUUGGCUGAUGGCUGCUAAAGCAGUUUGCAA